UACGAAGGGGGCUAGCGUUGCUCGGAAUCACUGGGCGUAAAGCGCACGUAGGCGGCUUUCUAAGUCAGGGGUGAAAUCCUGGAGCUCAACUCCAGAACUGCCUUUGAUACUGGAGAGCUUGAGUCCGGAAGAGGUGAGUGGAACUCCGAGUGUAGAGGUGAAAUUCGUAGAUAUUCGGAAGAACACCAGUGGCGAAGGCGGCUCACUGGACCGGUAUUGACGCUGAGGUGCGAAAGCGUGGGGAGCAAACAGG
Molecule: ribosomal RNA, 253 nt
Filed under: uncultured bacterium
Lineage: Bacteria
Description: partial 16S ribosomal RNA
Rfam family: Bacterial small subunit ribosomal RNA
Source: RNAcentral